Oncorhynchus tshawytscha (Chinook salmon) is the source of this 2728-nucleotide long non-coding RNA. The record is from Ensembl. Lineage: Eukaryota; Metazoa; Chordata; Actinopteri; Salmoniformes; Salmonidae.
GUCGAGUUUAUUUAGAGGUUGAAUUGGACAGAGAAGUCGAGUUUAUUUAGAGGUUGAAUUGGACAGAGAAGUCGAGUUUAUUUAGAGGUUGUAUUGGAUAGAAGUCAAGUUUAUUUAGAGGUUGUAUUGGACAGAAGUUGAGUUUAUUUAGAGGUUGAAUUGGACAGACAGAAAGAAGUAAAGUUUAUUUAGAGGUUGUAUUGGACAAAGAGAGAAGUCGAGUUUAUUUAAAGGUUGUAUUGGACAGAGAGAGAAGUCGAGUUGAUUUAGAGGUUGUAUUAGACAGAGAGAGAAGUCAAGUUUAUUUAGAGGUUGUAUUGGACAGAGAGAGAGAGAAGUCGAGUUGAUUUAGAGGUUGUAUUAGACAGAGAGAGAAGUCAAGUUUAUUUAGAGGUUGUAUUGGACAGACAGAAAGAAGUCAAGUUUAUUUAGAGGUUGUAUUGGACAGAGAGAGAAGUCGAGUUGAUUUAGAGGUUGUAUUAGACAGACAGAGAGAAGUCAACACUAUUAUCCCAGAAACCCUAGACCCACUCCAAUUUGAAUACCGCCUAAACAGAUCCACAGAUGAUGCAAUCUCUAUUGCACUCCACACUGCCCUUUCCCACCUGGACAAAAGGAACACUUAUGUUAGAAUGCUGUUCAUUGACUACAGCUCAGCGUUCAACACCAUAGUGCCCUCAAAGCUCAUCACUAAGCUAAGGAUCCUGGGACUAAACACCUCCCUCUGCAACUGGAUCCUGGAUUUCCUGACGGGCCGCCCCCAGAUGGUGAGGGUAGGUAGCAACACAUCUGCCACACUGAUCCUCAACGCUGGAGCUCCCCAGGGGUGCGUGUUCAGUCAAAUCAAAUCAAAUCAAAUGUAUUUAUAUAGCCCUUCGUACAUCAGCUGAUAUCUCAAAGUGCUGUACAGAAAACCAGCCUAAAACCCCAAACAGCAAGCAAUGCAGGUGUAGAAGCACGGUGGCUAGGAAAAACUCCCUAGAAAGGCCAAAACCUAGGAAGAAACCUAGAGAGGAACCAGGCUAUGUGGGGUGGCCAGUCCUCUUCUGGCUGUGCCGGGUGGAGAUUAUAACAGAAUAUGGCCAAGAUGUUCAAAUGUUCAUAAAUGACCAGCAUGGUCGAAUAAUAAUAAGGCAGAAAAGUUGAAACUGGAGCAGCAGCACGGCCAGGUGGACUGGGGACAGCAAGGAGUCAUCAUGUCAGGUAGUCCUGGGGCAUGGUCCUAGGGCUCAGGUCCUCCGAGAGAGAGAAAGAAAGAGAGGAGAGAAUUAGAACGCACACUUAGAUUCACACAGGACACCGAAUAGGACAGGAGAAGUACUCCAGAUAUUACAGACUGACCCUAGCCCCCCGACACAUAAACUACUGCAGCAUAAAUACUGGAGGCUGAGACAGGAGGGGUCAGGAGACACUGUGGCCCCAUCCGAGGACACCCCCGGACAGGGCCAAACAGGAAGGAUAUAAGUUCCCUCCUGUACUCCCUGUUCAGUCCCCUCCUGUACUCCCUGUUCACCCACGACUGCAUGGCCAGGCAUGACUCCAACACCAUAAUUAAGUUUGCAGAUGACACAACAGUGGUAGGCCUUAUCACCGACAACGACGAGACAGGCUAUAGGGAGGAGGUCAGAGACCUGGCCGGGUGGUGCCAGAAUAACAACCUAUCCCUCAAUGUAACCAAGACUAAGGAGAUGAUUGUGGACUACAAGAAGAGGAGGACCGGGCACGCCCCCAUUCUCAUCGACGGGGCUGUAGUGGAGCAGGCUGAGAGCUUUAAGUUCCUUGGUGUCCACAUCAACAACAAACUAGAAUGGUCCAAACACACCAAGACAGUCGUGAAGAGGGGACAACUAAGCCUAUUCCCCCCCAGGAAACUAAAAAGAUUUGGCAUGGGUCCUGAGAUCCUCAAAAGGUUCUACAGCUGCAACAUCGAGAGCAUCCUGACUGGUGGCAUCACUGCCUGGUACGGAAAUUGCUCGGCCUCUGACCACAAGGCACUACAGAGGGUAGUGCGUACAGCCCAGUACAUCACUGGGGCUCAGCUGCCUGCCAUCCAGGACCUCUACACCAGGCGGUGUCAGAGGAAGGCCCUAAAGACCCCAGCCACCCCAGUCAUAGACUGUUCUCUCUAUUACCGCAUGGCAAGCGGUACCGGAGUGCCAAGUCUCGGACAAAAAGGCUUCUCAACAGUUUUUACCCCCAAGCCAUAAGACUCCUGAACAGGUAAUCAAAUGGCUACCCGGAGUAUUUGCAUUGUGUAUAGUCACUUAACAAUAUCUACAUGUACAUACUCCCUCAAUCAGCCUGACUAACCGGUGUCUGUACAUAGCCUCGCUACUUUUAUAGCCUCGCUACUGUUAGUUUUCACUGUCUUUUUACUGUUGUUUUUAUUUCCUUACUUACCUAUUAUUCACCUAAUACCUUUUUUGCACUAUUGGUUAGAGCCUGUAAGUAAGCAUUUCACUGUAAGGUCUACACCUGUUGUAUUCGGUGCACGUGACAAAUUAACAUUGAUUUGAUUUAGAGGUUGUAUUAGACAGACAGAGAGAAGUCAAGUUUAUUUAGAGGUUGUAUUGGAUAGACAGAGAGAAAUCAAGUUUAUUUAGAGGUUGUAUUGGAUAGACAGAGAGAAAUCAAGUUUAUUUAGAGGUUGUAUUGGACAGACAGAGAGAAGUCAAGUUUAUUUAGAGGUUGUAUUGGAUAGACAGAGAGAAAUCAAGUUUAUUUAGAG